Non-coding RNA from Triticum aestivum (bread wheat), 119 nucleotides. The record is from Rfam. NCBI's taxonomy places the organism in Eukaryota, Viridiplantae, Streptophyta, Magnoliopsida, Poales, Poaceae.
GGAUGUGAUCAUACCAGCGCUAAAGUAGCGGAUCCCAUCAGAACUCCGAACUUAAGCAUGCUUGGGCGAGAGUAGUACUAGGAUGGGCGACCUCUUGGGAAGUCCUCGUGUUGCAUUCC